GUCGUAGCGGACAGAAGCGGUAGCUUGCUCCCGGAUGUUAGCGGCGGACGGGUGAGUAACACGUGGGUAACCUGCCUGUAAGACUGGGAUAACUCCGGGAAACCGGAGCUAAUACCGGAUAGUUCCUUGAACCGCAUGGUUCAAGGAUGAAAGACGGUUUCGGCUGUCACUUACAGAUGGACCCGCGGCGCAUUAGCUAGUUGGUGGGGUAAUGGCUCACCAAGGCGACGAUGCGUAGCCGACCUGAGAGGGUGAUCGGCCACACUGGGACUGAGACACGGCCCAUACUCCUACGGGAGGCAGGAGUAGGGAAUCUUCCGCAAUGGACGA
RNAcentral lists this ribosomal RNA (330 nucleotides) under Bacillus pumilus. RNAcentral describes it as "bacterial SSU rRNA". It matches the Rfam family "Bacterial small subunit ribosomal RNA", at positions 61 to 378 of the family's 1533-position model. The record is from RNAcentral. Lineage: Bacteria; Bacillati; Bacillota; Bacilli; Caryophanales; Bacillaceae.